Molecule: ribosomal RNA, 253 nt
Filed under: uncultured bacterium
Lineage: Bacteria
Description: partial 16S ribosomal RNA
Rfam family: Bacterial small subunit ribosomal RNA
Source: RNAcentral
UACGGAGGGUGCAAGCGUUAUCCGGAUUCACUGGGUUUAAAGGGUGCGUAGGUGGGCAGGUAAGUCCGCUCUGAAAGCCCGGGGCUCAACCCCGGGAGGCGGGUGGAUACUGUCAAGCUCGAGUCCGGAAGAGGCGAGUGGAAUUCCUGGUGUAGCGGUGAAAUGCGCAGAUAUCAGGAGGAACACCAAUGGCGAAGGCAAUCCCCUGGACCUGUACUGACGCUCAUGCACGAAAGCGUGGGGAGCAAACAGG